RNAcentral lists this long non-coding RNA (2014 nucleotides) under Equus asinus (donkey). RNAcentral's name for it is "lncRNA (ENSEASG00005035339.1)". The record is from RNAcentral. Lineage: Eukaryota; Metazoa; Chordata; Mammalia; Perissodactyla; Equidae.
CGCAGUUGAGCGAAAACCCUCAUAGCUGAGCUUCAAGUGUGGAAUGGCUGCAGGGAACAGACUGGUUCGGCCAUGAGGGACAGAAGCAUUAGGAGGCACUCCUAACGAACUAUCCGCCUACUAGCCACAAAGCCUCCAGUCCUGCUUUCCUCACUUCUAGAGAUAAUCUUGGAGAGAGAGAAAGAUCCUGUCUCAAGGACCAGCCCAACGCUCAAGGUAGGACCAGAAGAUGCACCAUCAGAAGAUACAGCACGGACAGCUGAUGACACAGCUGCAGCUCAUGAAUUUUUACCAUGGAAGUUGCGGUAGGCAGAAUUCUAAGAUGCCCUCACCAACCCCCAACCCCUUCCUAGCCCCUGGUGUACAUGAGUCUUCUCCCAGAUAUUCAAUCAAACACCCAUCUAGGAACUGCUGUGGCGGCAUUUUGCAGAUGUUACCCACAUACACCCACAUUACAUUACACCCACAUGUAAUUAAGUUUCUAGAUCAGUUGGUAUCAAGAUAUUGAGAUUAUAUGGGGACAGUGAGGGGAGUGGGGCGCUAUCCAAUCACAGGAACCCUUUAAGAGCAGACAGUUGUCUCCAUCUGGUUACCGAAGAGGAAGUCAGAAAUUUGAAGUACAUGAAGGAUUUGAUGUGCCCUUGCUGGCUUGAAGACAGAGGGGUGUAUGUGGCAAGGGAUGUGGGUGAUAUCUAGAUGUGGAGGGCAGCUCUCAGCUAACAGCUAGCAAUGAAGCCAGGACCUCAGUCCCACAACCAAAAGGAAUUGAAUUCUGCCAAGAACAAGAAUAACUUCGGAAGUGAAUUUGCCCCAGAGCCUCCAGACAAGAACUUCACCCGGCCAGUACCUUGAUUUCAGCCUUCCCCGAGCAGAGAACCCAGUCAUGCUGCGCAAGAAUUCUGACACACAGAACGGUGAGCUAAUAAGCAAGUGUAGCUUUAAGCCACUAAGUUUGUGGCAGCUCAUUAUGUAUGCAGCAAUGGAAAACAGAGGGAACAAUGAAACAGGAGGGCUCAGUUCCUCCCCACCCACACAAAACUGCAGACUAUUCAUGGAGAAGUAGGCACCUGUGAAGAAGCAUUUCUCCCCAUGCCCGGAUCUUCACUGAAACAUGGACUGAAAGAUUUUAAGGGAAACAUCUACCAAUUGCAACAUAUGGACCUUAUAUGGAUCCCGAUUCAAACAAACAAAGAAAAAAUUAUGAGAUAAUUGGAAAAUUUGAACUCUGGUUGAAAAUUAACAAUAAUUUCUUAACAUAAAAUAUUCAAAGGUAUGAUAAUGGGUACAUAUACAUGGAUAUAGAUAUAUACAUAUAUAAUGAAAGGUUUGUGGGUGAAAUAAUGUAAAAUCUGGGAUUUGCUUCCAAAUCAUCUGGGUAGGGGUGGGGAUUAGUAGGUUUAUAGAAGAUGCAAAUUUGGCCAUGAGUUGAUGACUGUUGAGUCUGGGGUGAUGGGUGCCUGGAGGUUCAUUAUAUUUGUUCAUUAUGACAAAUACUUACUCUAUUUUGUGUUUUUGAAAUUUUUCAUUAAAAAGUAAAGAAGCCCACUUUCGCUGCAGUCUGAUUUCGAUGACUGAAACGGCAGCCAGGCCACGCCUCGCUGGGAGCUCCUCUGAGCGCCUCCUCCUCGCCACGCAGGAGCUGUUCCACGUGCAAGAGCCUUUCCCUCCGCUCCUGUCAUUCCUCUCAAGGCUUCUUGGCAGAAUUCCUACUGCUCUUAUUUAAUAUCAUCUCUCUUUACUAUUUCUGAACUCCAUUUCAUGCUUUUUCUAGUUAUUCCCAAUAAAGAAGAAACUGGAAAUUCACAUAUGCUGAGACUGAAAAUCUUGUUGCUGAAAGGGCAUACAGAAAUAGCCCGAGGAGUAGAGCUCUUCCCAAGAAAAGCUACUGGGGAAGGAUUUCUGCCUCGUUUUUCUUUAAAAUAAGGUCAUUUAACAUAAGUCUGAGGAAAGCAUAGUGAGCCACAUUUCAUUUUACUGUUAAUUGCACUUGAGCUGAGAAACAGAAGUAAUAAAA